AGAGCGGUGCGGUGGCCACACGUGGGCUAUCUCGAUAGCUCCCCAACCAGUUCACGUCCCAGAAAUUUCUUCUCCUCUCUCCACCUAGCAUCUCUUCGUGCGCCGUUUCCGCCGUCCUGCCUGCCUGGUCGCCUGAGCUUCUCCCUGACUCACACUUUCUAGCGCCGCCGGCCUGGCUUCCCUCGCCGUGGCCGGGUGGUCAUCAGUGCACGCUCGGCCGGUUGUCCCCAUGAGCAGCUUGGACCGACGACAUGUGCUCUAUAUAGGAGCAGCCGAGCAGGUGGGGAUGUUGCUGGGUAAGGAGGAGGCGGGUUGAGGUGCGCGCACUAGAUCGGUGGCUUGGGAGGUGCGAGGCCGUGGGGAUCGAGGAGUGGCGGUCGCCGGAUGGCUGGCCCGAAAGCUUCCCCACCCGAUCCCUUCCUCCCCCUCCCCUGGCCUAGGCUCCCUCUGGAUGGCGGCCCUGACGUGGGUCUCUGGCUUCCCCGGCGCAGCCACGGCCUCGCAUGGAAGACGGCCCCGGCUCCGACGGCUGGUCGACUAGCACUGCUGCCUGUUUCGUUUCUUGGAGCGACCAACACUAGGACCCGAGGAUCUGGCUCCUUGAUAGAGCAGGAUGAGGGACACGAACAAACCAGCACCAUGGCCAUGUCUGCCUAACCUCUCCCUCUCUCUCAGCCGGUGGCGGCAACACGGAGGUAGCUGCACAUGAGGAGCUCGACCUCAGUAAGGGGCGGAGCUACGCCCCUGGCAACCAUGGCCAUGGCCCCGGACGCAUCAAAUUUUCCGGCCACCUACGCAUUGAAUUUUGGAAUUGGCUCUGGGUACUGUCCAGUACUUGCCUGUCCGUUCUGACCCGAUACGACCCAAAUUAGUUGGAAACGAGAUCCACAUCGAGCGGGAAGGGGGUUCCGUCCCCUUGGUCUCUGCGGCUGGACGCGUGCGCCGCAACGCGCCUCCCCAUUCCAUCAUCCCCGGCAGGCCAGCUUGCCGCCCAGGUCCGCACACUCCCGGAUACGCUGGAAGCACGGCUCCCAUAGGCUGCUCGACGCUGGCCCGCCCUCCCAGGACUGCGUACUCCUCUGCAGCAACUAGGUGGUUUAUUCAUCUCACGUUUUCAAGUUUCAGUUUAAUUGAUUUAUGUGACUGUCCAGAAGUAAACCGAUUCAUUUUGCUAUCUAUUUCAUGCUUUAGGAAUAAAAGAUUUAGAGAUUUAGACAUAAAAGUGACAAACAUGGAUGCUACAAUUUUUUGCUAUCGAUUUCCAAAAUACCAAACAGGGAUGAUGCAAAAAAAAAAUCUAUAGACUUCAAGUUUUUUUCAUCAUCUCUUUGUAUUUUUUUUGGAUCAUUAGGAAUUGAGUUUAAAUUAAAUCUUUGCAAUCGUACUAGAUUUUUGUACAAUUACAUGGGGUUUUUAAAGUUUUUUUUUUGCGCUUAGCUUUUGACCCGGGGUUUGCUCUGAUCCUGGCUCCGCCAGUCACUACCCAUCUGCGGAAAGAACUGACGGUACAUCGCCGGGCUGUGCACCAUCUACCAUCUUUCUCUCUCUCUACCGUGUGUGGCUACAGCUUCUCUCUCUCUUCACGAGGUUGAUGCAUGUACCAAGUGUUUGAUGUUAUGUUUGUGAGAAGAGAUUUGUUUUGUUGGUCUGUAAAUCCUUGCAGGAUUUAGAUGUGUGUCAAUUCAACCUCGACCAGAUUCCAUGGGUGAUCACCCCAAGCGAGGUGCUCCUCCUCAACACCAUAAGAGACAGGUGCAGCUCAAUGGGUGUCUGCUCCGUUGUGCCACGCCGUGGGGAUACAUGGGACCGGUGGUCUGUGGUUGCUCACGCUCGACGACGACUACAAAGGCGUCGACGGUGCGGUGCCAUGCCAUGGGAAGACUGGGCGGGCGACAUGCAGCCAGAGGGAGGGUGUGGUCGAGCUUGCGCUCGACUGUAGAGGAUGCUAUAAACGGAUUUUACAGUAGCAUGGAGUUUUUUACCUGCUCAUAUAUGAGGUAAAAAGUCACAAUGUUUUCAAUCUUGGCAAUUACCUGCGUACUAUUAUGGGCUGAUUUUUGUUCCCAAGACAUAGAGAUGAUGAACACUAUUUUGUUUAGUGGGCCGAUGCAGAAUGGAAGGGCAGGGCAGGAGUGGGAUCUAUAUGGUUACCACACCAAACAAAAACCAAAGUCAAUCGGGAAUUAGAUAAACAUUGGAACCCAUUGGAUGGUGAAUGAUAAAACUAUGCACAUGUAGUCUCCUCUAGCAGACGCUGCAUCUUUCUUGUGUUCAGUACGUCCUAUCUACUGCAUAUUUGAGAAUUGAGUGUACCUAUUAGCAUCAGAUGUGUAAUUUAGUCGCUCAGUUUUUGACAGAAAGUACCUGUGAUUUUUGAAUGAUGUAUGACUGCGUGCUUUGGAUUCAAUACAUUGAUGGCAAACAGGUUAAAUUCCUAGGUUCUAAAGAAAAUGCUUUGAGAUGAUAGUAUCCCCAUAUUUCUAUGUCACUCUUUCGAAUUGCUACGCCACUAUCUUGAUCAUGUAUUAGAAGAGAGCAGAUGUUGAAUUAUAUGAAGUUUGAUUGUGUAUAUUGUAUGUUCGUACAAAUAACUUGAUGGCCACAUUUAAGAUAUAUUUGCUUAAUAUCAUUACAGCAGGAGGGUAUACACCAUCAGAAAACUGUCUACUUUAAAUCAACCUCAUCGGCUAGAUAUGUCUGUUGUGCCAUUGGGCUAUUCAUAGUUCUGUAAUUCUUAAUCCCCAUGUGAUGUGUACCGAAUAUGUUGAGGUUGCCAAACAACUUCAAGACAACAUCAGCAAUUUGGGGGUUUUAAUUAUACACUCGCAUGUAGGUUUUGCAUACUGUAUCCGUACAAGUGUUGUAAAAGUUGAUGUUUUGUGUGGCAUGCUUUCUGUAGUUAUUUUGAUGUUAGCCAAACUAAGUAGCAUUUACUAGAAGCAUGUCUGCAAUUCAUGAUGCCGCUUGGCCUCUUGAUGUUCAUGGGGACUGCUAGAGCUGUAGAGCAUGUUGAUUACAAAAGAGAGAAUUUUCACCUUUUAGUAACUAGAGAUUAUAUUUUCUUCGCUCUCAGUUUGGCUUCUUGUGUGGAAUCAAAACUUACAGUAAACCUUACAACUGUUUUGAUUGAAGAAGUUGAGAGCUCACAAUAUACAAACAAAUGAGAAUGUUCUGCUAGGCAAGAAGAUAUGUUGGCCAAGAUGCCGGUAUAAUAUGAGCACUAAUUGGUGCAUUAGAGUUGAUUUCUUGUAUAAGUGACAUUGUUUCUAUGUGUGGAUUCUGGUCUGGAUUAUUAAGAAUGGACCAUAUAUUUUAGUCCCAUAUGCCAAAUAUUGCUUGAAUCGAAGAUGGCUAUCGGAUACACUUUCAAAGAGCUGGCACUAAUAGUUAUAGAGGUGGAUAAUCCUCAUAACUGGUGGUUUAUGGCCGGCCUGCCAAUAUUGUUGAGGGAAGACAACCCAUAAUGAGAAUGCUUACAGGGGCCCUUAUUGCCCCUGCAUAAAGGGAGUGGAGAGGUAAACCACUGUACAGUUCCACAAACUGCAAAGGAUAUCCAACCUAAUGAAGAGAGUAAGGUGGUCUCAUGGCAACCCCCAUCAACAGGCAGCAAAAACUCACAGGCAACACCUGCCAAGGACAUCUUAGAGGCUGCCGAUUCAGACUUUGGAGAGAACAUAGAGCAAAAAAGGAAGAAACCACAAACCAACUAUGACGUCCGCAAGAAAAGGUGAAUGCCUACAUCUAACCUGUAAGACCAAGCUAAAUGAAUCUAUACUUCACCUCAUAGGCAGUCUAUUUUUUUGCAGUGCAACUAAUGAAAAGAGAGAGGUAACACGGAAAUGUUCCCACCUAAAAACAGAAGUUUCACCUGACCGGGACAGAGAGUACCUUUUGUGCACUCCAGCCGUUGUGGUUUAGAAAUUGAAGACACAGAGGGAGUUCAACUGGCGAAUCAGCCAUCAAGCUACCGAUCUAUAUCAACUUAUCGUCAAAAUAUAAUGUGUAAUAUAAUUGGCCUAUGUGCCAUGUCAGGAGCAACUACUUCUGCUGUAUCAUCUACUGUGGUACAAAUCUGUUUUACUUUAAAAUGUGUCAUUGAUAUCAUCUACUAUUACUUUUGUAAGUAGUUGCAGUUAACUGCAAUCUUUUGAAAGUAAAGAAGGACAAAAUGCAUGUGCCUAUAAUCGUUAUAUUA
Lolium rigidum is the source of this 4195-nucleotide long non-coding RNA. RefSeq lists it as uncharacterized. The transcript is spliced from 6 exons. The record is from RefSeq and is a predicted model, not a curated record. NCBI's taxonomy places the organism in Eukaryota, Viridiplantae, Streptophyta, Magnoliopsida, Poales, Poaceae.